RNAcentral lists this ribosomal RNA (699 nucleotides) under uncultured bacterium. RNAcentral describes it as "bacterial SSU rRNA". It matches the Rfam family "Bacterial small subunit ribosomal RNA", at positions 8 to 741 of the family's 1533-position model. The record is from RNAcentral.
AGAGUUUGAUCCUGGCUCAGAACGAACGCUGGCGGCAGGCUUAACACAUGCAAGUCGAACGAGAAGUCAGAGCUUGCUCUGAUGGACAGUGGCAGACGGGUGAGUAACGCGUGGGAAUCUACCUAAUGGUACGGGAUAACGUUUGGAAACGGACGCUAAUACCGUAUAAGCCCUUCGGGGGAAAGAUUUAUCGCCAUUAGAUGAGCCCGCGUUAGAUUAGCUUGUUGGUGAGGUAAAAGCUCACCAAGGCUCCGAUCUAUAGCUGGUCUGAGAGGAUGAUCAGCCACACUGGGACUGAGACACGGCCCAGACUCCUACGGGAGGCAGCAGUGGGGAAUAUUGCACAAUGGGCGCAAGCCUGAUGCAGCCAUGCCGCGUGAGUGAAGAAGGCCUUAGGGUUGUAAAACUCUUUCAGUGGUGAUGAUAAUGACAGUAGCCACAGAAGAAGCCCCGGCUAACUCCGUGCCAGCAGCCGCGGUAAUACGGAGGGGGCUAGCGUUGUUCGGAAUUACUGGGCGUAAAGCGCGCGUAGGCGGAUUGAUCAGUCAGGGGUGAAAUCCCGAGGCUUAACCUCGGAACUGCCUUUGAUACUGUCAGUCUUGAGUUCGAGAGAGGUGAGUGGAAUUCCUAGUGUAGAGGUGAAAUUCGUAGAUAUUAGGAAGAACACCAGUGGCGAAAGCGGCUCACUGGCUCGAUACU